Molecule: long non-coding RNA, 4586 nt
Organism: Felis catus (domestic cat)
Lineage: Eukaryota; Metazoa; Chordata; Mammalia; Carnivora; Felidae
Exons: 5
Source: RefSeq, a predicted model, not a curated record
UCCUUGCUAGAGAUACAAUAGUUCUCCCUCAUCCACGGUUUCACUUACCUUCCCACCAGGGCAGAUUCCGAAGCAGAUGACCCUCCUGCCGAUUUGUACGUAACCUGACGCUGGGUACGUGACCUGACGCUAGGUCACGAUGCCACGGUCAUCACCUCACCUUAUCUCAUUGCGUCAUUGCGUAGGCGUUUUAUCGUCUUACAUCAUUACAAGAAGGCAGGAAGACUAAUGAGCCUCGACUGCUGUCUGUUAGAAAAUGUAAAUGAAAGAGUGACAUUAUUUACUGCAACAAUGGGAUUAAUAAGCAUAAAUUCCACAGCUAUUUGUCCAGAAGUCGUCAAUCUGAAUUAUGAAGUCAUCUUUGUUCUGCAAAAAGGACAACUCUGAUCAAGACUUGAUCACUGUUCCAGUAAGCUUCCCAAGAAGACUUUAACAAACAAGAAAUGAUGACCUCAGUUCCUACUCCUCUUCACAAAUAUUUGUAAAAUCAAUCUUCUGUAUGUCAUCCCAUUGGACAAACAAGUAUCACUUGGCUCGUAAUGGGGGGUCCCUUAUACCAUUGCAAGAAAUGACUGACAGAAGGCAUUGUUUCAUACUCUCUUUGAUGCAGUUGGCGUGAGACUUGGAGUUUAAAAGAGCCCUUUGUAAGUAAAAGGUUGAAUAGUAUGAAAGACGGUCUAUACAGCCUCUAAGUAUUCCUAAGGGGAUUUGUUCCUGCUUUUCAAAAUCUGCCCUUUUGACAAACGAAAAUGAUUUCAAAAGAAAAUGAUUACCAACAUGGUACAUUUCACUAUAGAUGAACAGUGAGCUAUACAUUGAGAUAAAGGUCAACUGUGGUUAGUGGUUAACUCUGCAGGAGCCAGCAAAUCAAAAAAAAAAAAAUCACUGUUGAAGAAAGAAAUGUGUUUCUCACCAAAUCCUUUGUCUCCCUCUAAUAAGAAAGAAUUCAAGCCUAUUAGCUUUAAUAGUAAUUACUAGUAACAUUCCAUUAGUUAUCUUUUAAUUGAAAUAGUGAAUAAGUUUGAGUAGCACUAUACUUUGACUCUAGCAAAUUCUUCUGUACUCUAUCCCAAGAGCUCUCUUGCACUAUAGUGGAUUUUAGAAGUAAUUUAGAACUAAAGCUUGGGAAUGUCCUUUCCUUAUAGAGGAAUGUCCUUUGACAUUUUAUUUACAGAGAAUUGUGUCAUCAGAACUGAGUAAAUAUCAUAUCUACAAUGUAUUCCAGAACCUUAAAAUAGGUAGAGUUUCCAGUUUUCUCAAUAUUUCUUUUACAUUUUAGUGACUUCAAGCCUUUAUUGGACCAAUUAUUAUUAUUAUUAUUAUUAUUUGUGUUCCUACAGUGGGGUUUGACUCUUAAUUGUAUAUAUUUAGAUCAGUGAUGAAAAUAUCAUGUCACUUAAAGUUUAGAAAUUUGAAACAUUCUUACAUUAUUGUUGGAAGUUUGAAUUGAUUAAUCACCUUUUAGAAAUGCUUUCAUGAAAUAUAUGUGAAGAUACUUAAAAAAUCGACCCCAGAUAUUUUGUCAGGAAGAAACUGAUGAAACAAACAAAAAUUUGGUCCAUCUACAGCUCAGUUUCUGAGAACACAACCUCGAACCAAUCCAAGAAUGAAAAAAUGGUCAAGCCAAAUUUGGGAAACCAUGAAAGAGUCAACUUGAACUCUUUUGCACCGAGAGGCCUUCCCUUACUACUUUGUCUAAAAUUUGUCUCCACCCUUCCAUAUACUGUGUUUCUUACAUCUCUUCUGGGACUUUGGCUGUGUUCACUCAGUAACAGUUCUAUCCAUCUCCUGCUCUCCAUCUGGUGCUUAGUGAGAGUCCACCUCCUGGUUCAUAGAUGGCUAUGUUCUCAUUGUGUUCUCACAUAAGGCAAAAGUAGUGAGGAAGCUCCCUGAGUUCUCUUUUGUAAAGGCACUAACCCCAUUCAUGAGGGCUCCACUCUCAUGACCUAAUAAUCUCCCAAAUACCCCACUUCCAAAAAGUACUACAUUGGGGAUUAGGCUUCAACAUACAAGUAGAGGUAGGGGCAUAAACAUUCAGUGUGUAGCAUAGUUCCUGACAGACCUGUCAUGACUCCAGCUGCUUCAAGCGACUCUGGUCUCUGCGUUCCUAUAACACUGCAUCUUCCAUUUGUCCCUCCACCCUAUGAGUAAAAUAAGCAUACUACCACUAGGCUCUCGAUUGAUUCAAACACUGAUUCAACAAACCAACCUACCACAUUAAUAACCAAUGCACUACAUUUCCUCUCCUUUAAAUACUCAGAGAGGUUUUUCCCUGACUCAACUGUAACUAAAAAAUUAGUGUUUAUCUAAAAUUGUCUUACAAAUAUCCUUUUAUAAUUUAUUGUUAUGUAAGCAUUAUAAUUAUUUCAUGGGAACACUACCACUAGACCUUAGAGUUUCUGUAAGUAAGUUCCAUUUCCAAUUUUCAAAGAGCUUUUGGGAAGUUUCUACUUCCUAAUUUACGAUCCUUCACCACUGUUGUCUAAAUCAUGUUAAAGCUGUGGUAGUACUUUAAGCGCUUCUGAGAGACUGCAUUAACCACCUUAUGAGAAAAUAUUGUCUCAAUAAGUUGGUUUCUUUUUCUUGUCUCUUAGUUGGUUUCCUUUUCUUAGUCUGUUAGUAUUUCAAUUUAUUUUUCAGUUCUCAUAUUAUAAAGUAUGUGUAUUCAUAUGUGUCCUCUAAUUCAAAUUUAUAUUUAAAGUAAAAUAUCAGUAACCAUAGGGAUGAUGUAGUGGGCAUUUUUACUUUAAUUUGAUUUAAAUUAGGAGACUGACCUGAUAUCUGUCUAAAAUAUUUUCUCUCAAGGAUUUUUAUAAUCAUGGAGUUAUAAGAAAAAAAAGUGAAUUGAGGACUACUUGAAAUCAUUACCCAAAUAAUACUUGACAUUAUUCAAAAACUCAUUUUGUCCAUUACCUAUCUUUAAUAAACUAAAUUAGUACAAAUUAAGUUGAGGUAUUUUUAUGUUAUAGAGAAGAACCAUCUAAAAUUGGUUUUUAUUAUCUAUGUGUUUAUUUAUGUUUAUAAUAAUAUUAUUUAUGUAUUUAUUUAUUUUGAGCCAUAGAACACAUGAAGGCAAUUUCCUGAUGACAUAUAAAUUUCCUUCAAAUGGCGUGAUAAAUAACAAUGAUAAUGGAGUUAAUAGUGCUAUUUAUAUAUUCACUAGAGUCAGUGGACACCUGAAAUGUUUAGAAACAUAUACCAUGGAGUAACUAAUUAAUGCAAUUUACUAAUAAUUAUUUAAAUUUAAUGCAAAAAAUAAACCAAAGCGACUUGUAAUAUUCACUGCUAAAUUUAAUUUAACAUAGUUUAUAUAUACUCAGAAAUCUGCCUUAAAAAGGGUUUUCCUCCACACCAGGAAAGUGUGAUUUCACUGUCACACAUUAACAACAUGAUGCUACAUUUGUACUUUGUUUGAUAUACACACCAUUUUGUUUUGCUUGAAAAAAAUGGUAGGUCAUUGUUGUAAGUAGCCAAUUUAUGUUUGAAGCAUCCAGAAACAAUGGUUCCACAAAUCAAGCUUAAGGAGUCUUGGCUCAGACUGCUACUCUCCUCCAACCCAUUCCAAUUGAUGAACACCACCUGUGGCACUCCUAAUUCACAGCAGCAGGCAAUAAUUUCCCUUGGAUACCCAUUACCAGUAAUUAUUCCCAAGAUAGGCUAUUAGAUAUGGCUUGUGAAUAUCUCAGCUGUAAACUUGAAAAAAUUAAUUCUAAUAUUUCCUUUGAGAUUCAUUUGUAGCUUAGUGACAACAUAAAUUAGUGAAAUUCUCUUUUAAAAAAGUAACAAAUUAUAGGCUUAUUUUUAGAAAAAGUGAUAAAAUUAUAAUAAUAUAUUUGCAUAUUUUGCAGGGUUCUUAUGUGAUUAUCUUAAAAUACAGAAACAGUUGGAAAUCUUGUAGAUAAGGUAACAUGAAGCAGUUGAUAGUUAAUUGUUUUGGUUUUUUCCUUCCAUAUUAGAGAUUUCCAAAAAUUUGGCUUAGUGUGUGACAAUUAUAUGUGGUUUUGCAAAAACAUCAUUGCAAAAAGGGAAAGAAAAAAAACAUAUAACAAAGCAUUAAACACAGUUUACACCCUAAUUGCCUUUGGAAACUUACAUUAACUGAAUUUAAAGACAUGAUGCUAAAUUUGCAAAAAUUUUAAGUGGUUGCUUUGAAUAUUCCUUUAUUAAAUAAUAAAUUGUAGAACAAUGCAAUAUAUAAUUGUAUGUAAGCACCAUCUGUUUGCAAACUUUUUAAAUAUUUUUUUAAAUGAUACACUUCUGGUCUCUUAUUUUUACAGAGUACAUAUAUUUGGGUCUUUUUAUGUCCUUGCUCUACUUUGGCAGUUAGAGCAGUUGUAGUAAAUGGUACACAUAUUUCACACAAAAACUUGUGAAAUGUGUAUUCAUAAGUUCUUCUAGUCUGCCACAAAAUGCUGACAAAAUGUAUGACAGUUCACAAGUAUCCAUUCCUUAGUGUUCUCCACGAAAGAGAAGUUACUGUGGUUAAGUUAUAACCAAUAUGUAUGAACUGGCUAGUGGUUUAUCAAUUUUGUUAAUUCUUUCAAAGAACCAGCUUCUGGUUUCAUUGAUCUGUUCUACUGUUUUUU